GCCAGGCCUGGUGGCACGGGUCUGUAAUCCCAGCCACCAGGAGGCUGAGGCAGGAGGAUGGCGAAUUCAAAGCCAGCCUCAGCAAAAGCAAGGGCCUAAGCAACUCAGUGAGCCCCUGUCUCUA
This 124-nucleotide small RNA is filed under the name Marmota monax (woodchuck). The record is from RNAcentral. Lineage: Eukaryota; Metazoa; Chordata; Mammalia; Rodentia; Sciuridae.